GACGAACGCUGGCGGCGUGCUUAACACAUGCAAGUCGAACGCUGAAGCUCAGCUUUUGUUGGGUGGAUGAGUGGCGAACGGGUGAGUAACACGCGAGUAACCUGCCUCCUUCUUUGGGAUAACGCCCGGAAACGGGUGCUAAUACUGGAUAUUCACUGGUCUUCGCAUGGGGGUUGGUGGAAAGGGUUUUUCUGGUGGGGGAUGGGCUCGCGGCCUAUCAGCUUGUUGGUGGGGUGAUGGCCUACCAAGGCUUUGACGGGUAGCCGGCCUGAGAGGGUGACCGGUCACAUUGAGACUGAGAUACGGCCCAGACUCCUACGGGAGGCAGAAGUGGGGAAUAUUGCACAAUGGGCGCAAGACUGAUGCAGCGACGCCGCGUGAGGGAUGGAGGCCUUCGGGUUGUGAACCUCUUUCGCUCAUGGUCAAGCCGCAACAAUGGUUGUGGUGAGGGUAGUGGGUAAAGAAGCGCCGGCUAACUACGUG
Molecule: ribosomal RNA, 483 nt
Filed under: uncultured bacterium
Lineage: Bacteria
Description: partial 16S ribosomal RNA
Rfam family: Bacterial small subunit ribosomal RNA
Source: RNAcentral